RNAcentral lists this ribosomal RNA (719 nucleotides) under uncultured bacterium. Its description in RNAcentral is "bacterial SSU rRNA". It matches the Rfam family "Bacterial small subunit ribosomal RNA", at positions 105 to 811 of the family's 1533-position model. The record is from RNAcentral.
GGUGAGUAACACGUGGGUAACCUGCCCAAGAGACUGGGAUAACACCUGGAAACAGAUGCUAAUACCGGAUAACAACACUAGACGCAUGUCUAGAGUUUGAAAGAUGGUUCUGCUAUCACUCUUGGAUGGACCUGCGGUGCAUUAGCUAGUUGGUAAGGUAACGGCUUACCAAGGCAAUGAUGCAUAGCCGAGUUGAGAGACUGAUCGGCCACAUUGGGACUGAGACACGGCCCAAACUCCUACGGGAGGCAGCAGUAGGGAAUCUUCCACAAUGGACGAAAGUCUGAUGGAGCAACGCCGCGUGAGUGAAGAAGGGUUUCGGCUCGUAAAGCUCUGUUGGUAGUGAAGAAAGAUAGAGGUAGUAACUGGCCUUUAUUUGACGGUAAUUACUUAGAAAGUCACGGCUAACUACGUGCCAGCAGCCGCGGUAAUACGUAGGUGGCAAGCGUUGUCCGGAUUUAUUGGGCGUAAAGCGAGUGCAGGCGGUUCAAUAAGUCUGAUGUGAAAGCCUUCGGCUCAACCGGAGAAUUGCAUCAGAAACUGUUGAACUUGAGUGCAGAAGAGGAGAGUGGAACUCCAUGUGUAGCGGUGGAAUGCGUAGAUAUAUGGAAGAACACCAGUGGCGAAGGCGGCUCUCUGGUCUGCAACUGACGCUGAGGCUCGAAAGCAUGGGUAGCGAACAGGAUUAGAUACCCUGGUAGUCCAUGCCGUAAACGAUG